This is a long non-coding RNA of Apis dorsata (giant honeybee), 1908 nucleotides long. RefSeq lists it as uncharacterized. The transcript is spliced from 3 exons. NCBI's taxonomy places the organism in Eukaryota, Metazoa, Arthropoda, Insecta, Hymenoptera, Apidae. The record is from RefSeq and is a predicted model, not a curated record.
UGGUGGACUAGCGAUAGAAUGAAUAUUUAAAUUUGCGGUAGGAAUUAUAGUUUUUGGUAGAUAAAUUUAAAAAGAGAGAUAGGCGAGGCAAAUAUUUAAACAAUUUUCCGUUUCUAAAUAUCCAGUUUGGUUUUGUUAACAAACGAUAUUAUACGGGGGAACGAUAAAUCGGUGACAAUGAUUAAUGAAUAUUUUGAUACGAGAAAUUCUGGUGCGACGGAAAAUUAAAAUUCAUGAUGACGAUACGGUUUACUCGUACGCGUAUUUUUAUACCAAAUGAAAUACAUGUUUCAUCAUAAAUAUUUAUAAGAUAUAUAUAUAUAUAUUUUUUCAAUCUCUGCAUCUAUUGUUUUAAUCGAUUAAAAAAAAGAAAUUAAAUCUUUUAUACGACCUCGUUUUUUCGAUAUUUACAAAUUAUAAAAAAUGGUGAAGGGAAGACUACCAAUUUGUAUCGACGAUCGCCUAACAUUCAUAAAGCAACGAACGAAUAUUACAAGUGUUGUAAAAACAUACGCAGAGAAAUAUGUGUGAUUGAUUGAUAUAUGCGAUUUAAAAAAUCGUGUGAAACACCAAAAACGUUAUUAUCCCCGAUUUAGAUAACGAUUUAAAUGUCAUCGAUCCCCCAAUUAUCUUGUACUUGCGAAUUGAAUCGAAAAUCCAUAAAUUACACACUAGUAUAAGCGUAAUAAUUAUUAAAAAAAAAUAACCAAACACGGAUCGCGCAUUUAGAUAUAAUUUUAAUCUUGUACAGCGUUUACGGAUGAAAUUAAUCGUAUCGAUGGAAAUCAAAGAACCAAAUGUAAGACUCGAGGUAGCGGAAAAUCGGAAGGAAAGAAAGUGAGAUCGACAACGAGCGUGAAAAUGCAGCGAAAAAUGGUGACACCAUUAAUUCUCGAGGGACGAAGAGAAUUGCGUGGAUUCAAAUAAGCAUCGAAUAAAAUGAGAUAACUGGAAAUAGCAAGGAACUGGGCGAAAAGGAGGGAAAAUUUUCUUUGGAAAAACCCAUUGACUUUCCAAUGAAUGAAAAAUCACAUAACGACAGCUUUAAUUAUCCCCAACGGUCCCUCUCGAUUCCAGUUAAAUCCAGUGUUAUAUAAUCGCUUUGGAAUUAAUUUGAUCUCGAGGAAAAAAGAUUAACAGACGUAUUUCAUUUAUAUAUAUAUAUAUAUAUAUUUACAAUUUAAUUUUUUAACAGCGAGAUAAGAAAAAAAAUAAGAACACGACAUUUUUGAUAUUUUUUAUUGAUAUCAAGAAUUUUUUCCAACUCGGUAAAAAUAAACACUUCCAAAAGUUGUUUUGUUAAAGGAAAAAAAAUGAUAUAUAAAAUUCAUGAAUAAAUUAAGUAAUGCAAUAAAAUCCUUUAUUACGUAUUUCCAAGAAACGAGAGAAUAGGUCACUCGCAACAUCGUGACCUGAAUUUUGAAUAAACAAGAGGAUUUUAGCGGAGGAGAUUGGACGAAUCUAUGCUUUAUUAUUACAAAAAUCGAAAGUUGGAUACAGAUAUGAACAAGCCACUUAUAUUCAUGCAAGAGAUUAUAUACUUCAUCGGCUUCGUGAAAUAGGAUUCGCGAAAAAUUUCCUCGAAAAAAGGUGGACGUAAUUGUUAUACACCGUCGAUAUUCAAAUGACAAACAGGAAAUAACGUACAUCAAGAGAGAUAUCGAUCGGGGAAAGAAGAGAAGCCAAUAAGAAAACAAACCAUCCCCUUUCGUGCCUAUCCUCUGAUGUCGAUCCUCUGAUCGAGAGGAAAUUUUUCCUCGUCGAAUUAACGUCUCCUUUGUUUCUCGUAGAAUUAUCAGCAGCGUAAUUUAAUUACGAAUAACCUACGAAUUUCACACUAUUUCCUCGAAUCUUCGUCCGUUCUAUUAAAUUAUGAAAUCUAAGCCGAUUUCUCGUCGAAAACGAAAU